RNAcentral lists this transfer RNA (76 nucleotides) under Vibrio parahaemolyticus. RNAcentral's name for it is "tRNA-Gly". It matches the Rfam family "tRNA". From Rfam's summary of the family: Transfer RNA (tRNA) molecules are approximately 80 nucleotides in length. Lineage: Bacteria; Pseudomonadati; Pseudomonadota; Gammaproteobacteria; Vibrionales; Vibrionaceae. The record is from RNAcentral.
GCGACACUAGCUCAGUUGGUAGAGCGCAACCUUGCCAAGGUUGAGGUCACGAGUUCGAACCUCGUGUGUNGCUCCA